RNAcentral lists this ribosomal RNA (246 nucleotides) under uncultured Lactobacillus sp. RNAcentral's name for it is "partial 16S ribosomal RNA". It matches the Rfam family "Bacterial small subunit ribosomal RNA", at positions 116 to 355 of the family's 1533-position model. The record is from RNAcentral. Lineage: Bacteria; Bacillati; Bacillota; Bacilli; Lactobacillales; Lactobacillaceae.
CGUGGGUAACCUGCCCAAGAGAUCGGGAUAACACCUGGAAACAGAUGCUAAUACCGGAUAACAACAGAUGAUGCCUAUCAACUGUUUAAAGGAUGGUUCUGCUAUCACUCUUGGAUGGACCUGCGGUGCAUUAGCUAGUUGGUAGGGUAACGGCCUACCAAGGCGAUGAUGCAUAGCCUAGUUUAGAGACUGAUCGGCCACAUUGGGACUGAGACACGGCCCAAACUCCUACGGGAGGCAGCAGCC